GUGCUUGCUUUGAAAGCACAUAUUCGAAAAUUGGAAUGAUACAGAGAAGAUUAGCAAGGCGUUUGCACCAGGGAGAUAUACAAAUUCAUUAAGUAUGUUUUCUUUGU
Sarcophilus harrisii (Tasmanian devil) is the source of this 107-nucleotide small nuclear RNA. NCBI's taxonomy places the organism in Eukaryota, Metazoa, Chordata, Mammalia, Dasyuromorphia, Dasyuridae. The record is from Ensembl.